GCCUGAAGAAAAGCAAGGAGACCAGUGUGAUUGAACUGUAGAAUACGUUAAACAGAGUAUUAGUAAAUAAGUUUAGAAAGAUAGGCAGGAGUUAGAUUAUGAAGGUCUUUUCUUAAUUAUUUUUUCCCAUUGUUUCUUGUCACCCUCCCCUCUUUCCUCCCCCCUCCCAGAGUUGACAAGCAAUUUCACUGGGUUAUACUUGUUAUUAUCACUAAAAUCCUGUUUCCAUAUUAGUCAUUUUUAUAAUAAAGUAAUCUUUGAAAACCAAAACCCAAAUCAUAUAUCUAUACAAACAAGUGAUAAAUCAUGUUUCUUUCUGUGUUUUGUAUUAGGUAGUUGUUCCUUUAUGGAUUAUGGUAAUGAGGAAUCAGAUCUGCCUCAUCCUCCCUUUUGUCUCCCUCCUCCCUUCUCCCUCCCACUUCAGCUACUCUCUUCAGUUGGUGACAAAUCAGUUCUGAAAUGAACCAAUGAAACAUAGGUGGAGCCAUAUUCUCUUGAGCUGCUCUCCACAACGUAGAAGGAAUCAAGACAUCAGUAUUUAGAGCUAAAGCAAGCAGAAGACCCCAAAGCAGACUAUAGAGGAGGAGGACUCAGAAGAGGUCUGGAAUGUUUGAUAACUACUUUUGCUGUGCCCUAGUUAGGACAAAGUCUGUUAGUCAACUAUCCAAUCUGUCACCAGGUCCACAUGUAAUCUUUUUAUUUUAAGGAAAAAUUCUUAAGAAUUCAAUAUAACUUCCUCAUUUUAC
This 746-nucleotide long non-coding RNA is filed under the name Monodelphis domestica (gray short-tailed opossum). Its description in RNAcentral is "lncRNA (ENSMODG00000049720.1)". Lineage: Eukaryota; Metazoa; Chordata; Mammalia; Didelphimorphia; Didelphidae. The record is from RNAcentral.